This is a long non-coding RNA of Zonotrichia leucophrys gambelii, 650 nucleotides long. RefSeq lists it as uncharacterized. The transcript is spliced from 2 exons. The record is from RefSeq and is a predicted model, not a curated record. NCBI's taxonomy places the organism in Eukaryota, Metazoa, Chordata, Aves, Passeriformes, Passerellidae.
AAGGAGUCAGUGCUGUGAGGAGAUGCACAUGAGAAAUCACCUGGAAGAUAUGGAAGAUUUACAAUAAGAUGACAACAGAUAGCCAGCUCUCCAGAAGCCCUUAAAAAAUAGCCACACCACUAACAAACAAAAAAACCUCCAAACUUCCUAAAUCACUCACAGUUGCUCCCAUUUUUAACCCAGCCUUACCCAUCAUCUAGCUAGAGCACGUCUUGACAGCUUAUCCUUCUGACAACAUAACCAUACAGCAGGAGCAGAAAAGACAGGAAUCAAUUAACAUAUGGGCAGAAAUAACUUUUUAGAAACAAAUUUUCAUUUGUUCCAGAAAUUUCACAUGUUAUCAUUCAGCUACUGCUCAAUAUCCUGCUCACCUCCCCCUCCAUGCCAGUGUGAGCAGCAGCUGGGGUACAGAUCUCUGAGGUAAUGCACACAGGGCUGCUUUGGAGCUGUCAUUCCUGAUUAAAAUCUGCAUGUGGAUCUCACUCCUGCAAGGCUGGAUCUCUCUCCAGGAAUGCCACGAGUCCGCAUAAAACCUCUCCAUAGAACAAAAAGAAAUAAAAUUAAAUGCUGCAGCUCUUUUUGUUCAUCUGGCUCAGCAAUGAAUAUUUAAAUAUAAAAUGUUUGUUAUCACUUAACAGGUCAGCUCUCUG